GUCACCAACGGACAGUUUUGACACCCGUAUACCCAUAUUUCUACCAAAUACCUCUGAAACCUUUGUUGUGUUCAUCACACAGAUGAUGGACCACUCUACUUCCUUUUACAACAGGUGCCCAUACAGAUUCACAAAGUUCCAGUGUUGAGUUUCCAUGACCCCUAUUCAUCCACGACAGGAAAAGGAAUAGAGUUUACAGGACUUCCUGCACUGUCCCUGGUAGCAGUUUAUGAGGGAAUCAACCGCAGUAG
This is a long non-coding RNA of Saccostrea cuccullata (small rock oyster), 251 nucleotides long. RefSeq lists it as uncharacterized. The transcript has 3 exons. The record is from RefSeq and is a predicted model, not a curated record. Lineage: Eukaryota; Metazoa; Mollusca; Bivalvia; Ostreida; Ostreidae.